UACGAAGGGGGCUAGCGUUGCUCGGAAUUACUGGGCAUAAAGCGCACGUAGGCGGUCUUUUAAGUCGGGGGUGAAAUCCUGGAGCUCAACUCCAGAACUGCCUUCGAUACUGGAAGACUUGAGUCCGGGAGAGGUGAGUGGAACUGCGAGUGUAGAGGUGAAAUUCGUAGAUAUUCGCAAGAACACCAGUGGCGAAGGCGGCUCACUGGCCCGGUACUGACGCUGAGGUGCGAAAACGUGGGGAGCAAACAGG
RNAcentral lists this ribosomal RNA (253 nucleotides) under uncultured bacterium. RNAcentral describes it as "partial 16S ribosomal RNA". It matches the Rfam family "Bacterial small subunit ribosomal RNA", at positions 524 to 776 of the family's 1533-position model. The record is from RNAcentral.